UGGGAAUUGCAGGAAUUAUGGAUGGAAAAGGAAAAUAUUCCUCUCUCCAUCCAUUCAUUCCUCAAUUCUCCCAGAAAAGCCAUUGAGGAAUGACAAAAAUCCCCCCAAAAAUAAAAGGAAAACUCGGAGCCGCUUUAAUUUUUUUUAACCAUUUAUAUUUAUAUAUAUAUAUAUAAAAAAAUUAAAUAUAUAUAAUAUAUCGUGUUUAAGACUAAAAAUAUAGUACAGAAUAUUUAAAAAAAAAAGGAAAAUGCAACGUAAAAAAAAAAAAAAAGGGAAACGGGGAGAGAUUUCGGAAUUUUGGGGGGAAAAAUGAGGAAACGGGGAAGGGUCUCUAAACGAACCUGUGCUAAAAAAAAAAAGGGGGAAAUUCCAUGUUCCAGCCCCAAAGUGGGGUUGGAAUUUUAAAGCUUCCCGGUGGCCGGGGCGGGCUCCCCCUCUUCCCGUGGGAUAUUGCUCUGGAGUUUGGGGUGCAGCACCUGGAGCGGGAAUUCCCUCCCCCCUCUGGCGGUUUGGGGUGAAUUCAGGCACCUUUGGGAUCCCCGGGGGUUCGGGCCCGUCCUGACGGGACCUUUUUGGGUGGUUUUGGGGAAUUUCGGGAGGGGAGGGUCCUGCAGCUCGUACCAGGAUUGGGAAUUUGGGGGAAUUUAAGGGAUUUUGGGAAGAUCCCGACCCCGGGGAGGGCCCUUGAGAAGUGGGGAGGGGUCUCGUACCUAAUCCCGGGGAUUUUUGGGAAUCAGCUGGGAAUUCCUUCCAAAAUUCACUCCCCAAAUCCCAAAUUUGGGCUGGGAAUUAACCAGGAAUUCCUUCCAAAAUUCACCCCCAAAAUCCCAAAUUUGGGCUGGGAGUUAACCAGGAAUUCCCUCCAAAAUUCACUCCCAAGAUCCCAAAUCCUAAACUGGGGUCCCUUUGGGAAUUGGGGCUGGGAAUUCCUUCCAAAACUCAUCCCCAAAAUCCCCGAUCCCAAAUCGGGGCUGGGAAUCCUUUGGGAAUUCCCUCCAAAAUUUAUCCCCCAAAAUUCCCCCAUCCAAAAUUGGGGUCCCUUGGGGAAUUGGGGCUGGGAAUUCUCUCCAAAACUCCCAAAUUCCCCCAUCCCAAACUGGGGCCCUUUGGGAAUUCCCUCCAAAACUCAUCCCCCCCAAAUCCCCAGUCCCAAAUUGGGGUUCCAUUGGGAAUUCAGGAAUUGGGGCCAGGAAUUCCCUCCCAAACUCAUCCCCCCCAAACCCCCAGUCCCAAAUUGGGGUCCCAUUGGGAAUUUGGGAAUUGGGGCUGGGAAUUCCCUCCCAAACUCAUCCCCCCCAAACCCCCAGCCCCAAACCGGGGUCCCGGAUGAUCCCGAAGUUCUGACCACUCCCGGAUUCCCGGGAACGCGAUUCCCGCCGGAUUUACAUUCACAGGAGGGAUCCAGGGGGAUCCAGGGGGAUCCCAUGGAACGAUGUGCGUAUGGAAACCCCAAAUUCCCCCCAUUGCCGCCGCUCGGGGGGAUUUGGGAUGGGGAGAGCGGGGGCAGCCGGCCCCGAGGGAGGGCGGCCCCGAAAUCAAGGCACAGGGAAUGGGAAUGGUUGGGAAUGGGGCUGGUUUUUGUGGGAUUUGCACGUCCCUCUGGAUUUGGGGACAUGCAGAGCCCUCCCACUGAUCCCAAUGGGAAUGGUUUG
This 1655-nucleotide long non-coding RNA is filed under the name Junco hyemalis (dark-eyed junco). RNAcentral describes it as "lncRNA (ENSJHYG00000003056.1)". Lineage: Eukaryota; Metazoa; Chordata; Aves; Passeriformes; Passerellidae. The record is from RNAcentral.